Long non-coding RNA from Helianthus annuus (common sunflower), 1316 nucleotides. RefSeq lists it as uncharacterized. Lineage: Eukaryota; Viridiplantae; Streptophyta; Magnoliopsida; Asterales; Asteraceae. The record is from RefSeq and is a predicted model, not a curated record. The transcript is spliced from 3 exons.
CUCACACACAUGAGAGAGAGCCAUCCCUCUGCAUCACACCUUUAUCCGCGUCCGCAUCACACCUCUGUCGGCGUCACCGCCACCGCCACCGGUGCCAUAUCUCCGGCAUCAACGAUACUUAGUAGGUGAUCAACGUUCCGUAGACGAUUAACGGCAGUCACAAUAGAGGGUUUUAAGGGAGAGUAGGUCGAAUGGCUUAGGAUGGUUGAAUUGUCACAUCAGACGACGAUCUGAAAACACAUGUGUGGUUAAAUGACUGAUGGUGGUGGAUAUGGUUCAACAAAUCGGCAUUGCUAUGGUUCCGACGAGAUUUUAGCAUGAUUCUGGUGACCCGGUUCAGGCUUGGAAAUGUUCCUUGGGAAUGGGAAUGAUCCUUGGAAGUCUGAAAGGCAGCGAUUUGGGGAACCGAAGACGACUAUAAACCUAGCAACGGUGGCUUUGUUAUGUGACCAAAUGUGCCGAAACGAUGGUCAAUUAAGGGUUCUGAGCACGGAUCCUUGAUAUUCAGACUUUUUUAUGCUCAUAUAUGAUUUCCGGCGGUUAAGGCGACUUUCCGGCGAGUAAAGGAUGUGGCUGCAGACCACAGUGAUUGAUUGGUGGUGGUCCUCGAGUUAGGGGAGCUGCGAGAUGAGACGACUUCUGACCGUCAGUUCUUUGUUUUCUUUGUAAAAUUGAUACUAUCAACAAUCGGUUUGAUUUCUACCUCCUUCUUCCAUCAUUUACAGUUCUGAUUUGUGUAACCCUUUCUUUUUCUCUUCUCCUGUUGCACUAUUAGGGUUUGGCCGAGAGAGAAGCAGAUGAAUGACAAUAAAAUGAAAGAAGAAAAGAAGUCAGGGUUGUGCCACGAAUGUUAAAAUAGAGUAAUUAUGUAACAAAAUUUAUUAAUUUUGCCGUUACUGUAAAUUGUAUUUUACUAUCUGAUUUUGAUGUGAUAAUCAUUUACUUUGAAGUUUGUUUGUAUUUGCAGGUGUUGAGUUCAACAGGCAAGUUUCCUACAAAAUAGUUAAUGUUAAAUUACACACCGUUGGUAAUGCAAUGUUUGGAUGUGCAUAUCUUUCGUUUACAAAUAGAUUGUUUUUGAAAAUUUGAUUGUCUGGAUUGGACCAGUUUCAGCUUUGUUUGACUCGCUCCAAACCAGUUCAUUUGGGCCCAUUAACGGAUUUUGUGCACCUCUAUUAACAAAGCUCAAGAUUGGCACUCCAUGGUGGAGCACCAAUUCUGGCUACAUGUCUCUAUUAUCUAGAGGUGUACGAAAAUUAGUCUAGGCCCAAACCAGUUCAGGUGUAAACUAGCUUGUUUUUUAACAUGGAACUAUC